This 76-nucleotide transfer RNA is filed under the name Gaetbulibacter sp. 4G1. Its description in RNAcentral is "tRNA-Arg". It matches the Rfam family "tRNA". From Rfam's summary of the family: Transfer RNA (tRNA) molecules are approximately 80 nucleotides in length. Their secondary structure includes four short double-helical elements and three loops (D, anti-codon, and T loops). Further hydrogen bonds mediate the characteristic L-shaped molecular structure. tRNAs have two regions of fundamental functional importance: the anti-codon, which is responsible for specific mRNA codon recognition, and the 3' end, to which the tRNAs corresponding amino acid is attached (by aminoacyl-tRNA synthetases). tRNAs cope with the degeneracy of the genetic code in two manners: having more than one tRNA (with a specific anti-codon) for a particular amino acid; and 'wobble' base-pairing, i.e. permitting non-standard base-pairing at the 3rd anti-codon position. Lineage: Bacteria; Pseudomonadati; Bacteroidota; Flavobacteriia; Flavobacteriales; Flavobacteriaceae. The record is from RNAcentral.
AAGCUUAUGGUGUAAUUGGAUAGCACUCAAGAAUACGACUCUUGAAGUAUGGGUUCGAGUCCUGUUAAGCUUACUA